UCCGUUUGUAUUUCUUCCCGUCCCAACUACAUCGUUGAGGGACCAACUAAAGUUAAAAGACAAGCGGUUAGCGACAAAACUGGCAGUACGUUCACGGCUCGGCAACACGCUCCUUUAUCCGACACCAGCAAAAAAAAUACUGAAAAGUUGCCCGAAAAGCGGAAAGAUAUGCAGCAAUACGGAAACCACCCAUGUCAAUAAAUAGAGAAAGGUCCAGCUGAACCUACCUCAUACUCCUGCAGCUCCUCAAUCAGAACCUAACAACAGACACACACUAGCGUUAGCGGCGAGCAAUGGCUACUAAUUCAACGGUCAUUCUUUUCCAACGAUUCGAGUCAACGUCUUAUUGUGUAUCGUUACCUGCGAUGCCUUCUUACAGGGUCCGGACUGUAGAAACCUGGCGAUGAGGGACGCCCAGCACUCACCAGCUUCGAUUCGUGAACACCGUUCUCCUGCCAUCGCUUGAUGAGACGGGCGACAUGAAGACGAACUGGUGUUUUAGCUCGCUCGUUAGCCGCCGGCUAGCUAACAGUAGCUAGAUGUGUGUAGCUAAAACAGGCUGAUGAAUGGCCUCCUCCUUUCGAGUUGUUCCCUGACCACCUGGUGCUUUGUGUUAGCGCCCUCCAGUGAAAAUGGGAGAUAUUGGUUGGUUAGUUAGGGUUUUUUUUUUAAUCGAAAAUGAAUAAAUGCUAAUAUGCUCAAAUUCACAACUCUCUGUCCAACAAUUUAAGGAAAAUUAAAUUAGGAACUUUCUUUAUUUAACGGCCAGAAAUAUACGUUAUAUUUCCCAUGCUUUGUUUUUUUUAAGUGAGGUAAAAUAGGUUUCCAUAUUUAUAAGAAACAUUUUGAAGUUCUUUUUUUAAUGAUUGACUGUCAUCUUGUCGGUGGCAAACAAAUAAUAAAUAAAGUUUACAAAAUGUUUCUGUCAAAUACAUAUAUUUUUAUAAAGUUUAAAUCUUAUUUGUUUAUAUAUUUGGGUACAAACAUAGUUCACAUAAAGGUACAGGGUAUAUUCUAAAGUUGUGAUUCAUAAUUUUCCAAACAUACCAACAUAAGGGCUGGCUGCAACAUUUCCAGUAGUUUUGUUUUAGAGAGUGAGCCUUUAUUAUUAUGAAUGGGGAAUUAUGGAUCUUCUAGAUAAGAUAAAAUCCCCAUUCUAAUAAAAUGGUACUAUCAUGAUUCUAAUAACAUGUUUGUGUUUUUGCUCAUUGUCAAAGUUUCAGAUGUUGUUUUGACAAAACAGAUUUAUAACAGAAACCAUGCUUAUUAUUAGCUAUACUUGAAAAGUGCAAAACAAAUGAGUCAUGUUGAUGUAUGUAAUGGUAUUAACUACUGUUGCACUGACUGCAAUAAUUUGCAGAUGUCUGAGUCUCAACAAGAUGUCACUAGUUAUUUGGAAAACUGAAGGUAAAUGUCCCAUGAUUCAUGCUUUUUUUCUGACCCAAAGAAAGAACUGAGCAUAGGCAUAAUCUUAUAAUCUAUUUUUACCACUGUGGCCAACAAAAGAAGUGCAUGAUGGACGUGAAGUCCUUCACCAUCUGGCAUUACAACUGCAGGGCAGAUUGAUUGGUAUUGGUUUUGCGAGUUGUGGUUGUACACACAUUCACCAUGUUUACUUUGUCACAAUAUGAACUGUAUGUGCGUGUGUGGUUUGACCAUUAUGCUUGUCAUAUGAAAUAGGAGCUAUGAUGUUCAAGCUUUGAUGUUUUUACGAUUUUUUGUUGUUGUUUAAGUGUCUGAGUUUGCAAGUGUCACAGAUGUUUUGUGAUGAAGGUCUCAGGCGUGCCAUCCCUCCGUUACCUGUUUAUGAACUUGUUGAUUUCAAGAACACUUUUAAGCUAAGACUUAACUAACUGCUUCUUUGAACGGUAAAAGAUUGAUAGAGCUUUUGAUCUUAAAGGGGCACUAGAUUUUCCUAGUCAUGCGGGGGAUCACUGAGCCUGCGCAACAAAACGAUGCUUCUCAGGGUCAUGCUAAAACACUGUGAAGUUGCCUUAUGAUCCACUACUUUUGGAGAUUGAUGCACAACAAAAAGUCAGAAUAUCUUGCCUUCUGCUACAUCAAUUUUGAAUUUGAAUUCUUCUCACUGUGAUAGAAAAUUCAUUAUGAAAUGAAUUCUUGGAGAGUGAUUAAAUCUGUAUCUCGUUAAUCUACGGUUAGUAUUCAUUUCUAAGGGACACUUAUAGUGUGAUACUUUCCGUUUUGUGUCUGCAUGUGUAAUAAUAACACAAGUGUUUUCCUGCAGAAUAACACUGAGCCUCACGGUGUUUGUUGUGUCUAAGCUUGACACUUUGAUGGACAGUUUGACUGCACAUAUGUAUAAUAAAACAAAACUCCAAAUACAA
Long non-coding RNA from Cyclopterus lumpus (lumpfish), 2345 nucleotides. RefSeq lists it as uncharacterized. The record is from RefSeq and is a predicted model, not a curated record. The transcript has 2 exons. NCBI's taxonomy places the organism in Eukaryota, Metazoa, Chordata, Actinopteri, Perciformes, Cyclopteridae.